AUGAUGGAGACCGUCCACAUCAUCCACUGUGGAAACCUCAGCCAUGUAUUCGUGCUAAACGACAAAUGGUACCCAGAGGAAAUAUCCACCAAAGGUGUACCAUUCCCGAAGCUGACCACCAUCCACCUGCAUGACCUGCCAGAGUUGCAGCAGCUAUGCGAGUUCAAGAUGGUGGCACCGAACCUCAAGACUAUCAAGAUCAGAGGAUGUUGGGGCCUGCGCCGGCUGCCGGUGGUGGGUGCCCGUAGUGGAGGCAUGAAGAAGCCGUCCGUCGAGAUCGAAAAACACGUUUGGGACGCGCUUGAAUGGGACGAGGAGGUGGCCCCUGGCCACUUCGAGGCGCCGCUGCACUCACUCUACUACAAGAAGAAACUACCCAGGGUCUCUGUGCUCAGGUGA
This 399-nucleotide ribosomal RNA is filed under the name Triticum aestivum (bread wheat). RNAcentral describes it as "partial small subunit ribosomal RNA". The record is from RNAcentral. Lineage: Eukaryota; Viridiplantae; Streptophyta; Magnoliopsida; Poales; Poaceae.